Camelus ferus (Wild Bactrian camel) is the source of this 73-nucleotide transfer RNA. It matches the Rfam family "tRNA". Rfam says of the family: Transfer RNA (tRNA) molecules are approximately 80 nucleotides in length. Their secondary structure includes four short double-helical elements and three loops (D, anti-codon, and T loops). NCBI's taxonomy places the organism in Eukaryota, Metazoa, Chordata, Mammalia, Artiodactyla, Camelidae. The record is from Rfam.
GAGGGUACAGCUCAUGUGGUAGAGCGCAUGCCUAGCAUGCAUGAGGUCCCGGGUUCAAUCCCCAGUACCUCCU